Priapulus caudatus is the source of this 189-nucleotide long non-coding RNA. RefSeq lists it as uncharacterized. The transcript is spliced from 3 exons. The record is from RefSeq and is a predicted model, not a curated record. NCBI's taxonomy places the organism in Eukaryota, Metazoa, Priapulida, Priapulimorpha, Priapulimorphida, Priapulidae.
CAGUAAACGGUCUAGAUGGAUGGUAGAAGUCUUUAUGGGGAGUCUGGGGAGUUGUACCACCACCCACAGGCACACCCUCACCACAUGUGGGAUGCACACGGGCCACUAGAGCAGAUGUCAAGAUACAUGAGAAAUGGAUAUCAGGAACAGGAUCAAAGUUAUCAAGAAAGAGGUGACUGGAUGGGACAU